UUGCCCUAGUAACGGCGAGUGAAGCGGCAACAGCUCAAAUUUGAAAUCUGGCGUCUUUGGCGUCCGAGUUGUAAUUUGCAGAGGGCGCUUUGGCAUUGGCAGCGGUCCAAGUUCCUUGGAACAGGACGUCACAGAGGGUGAGAAUCCCGUACGUGGUCGCUAGCCUUUACCGUGUAAAGCCCCUUCGACGAGUCGAGUUGUUUGGGAAUGCAGCUCUAAAUGGGAGGUAAAUUUCUUCUAAAGCUAAAUACUGGCCAGAGACCGAUAGCGCACAAGUAGAGUGAUCGAAAGAUGAAAAGCACUUUGGAAAGAGAGUUAAAAAGCACGUGAAAUUGUUGAAAGGGAAGCGCUUGCAGCCAGACUUGCCUGUAGUUGCUCAUCCGGGUUUUUACCCGGUGCACUCUUCUAUAGGCAGGCCAGCAUCAGUUUGGGCGGUUGGAUAAAGGUCUCUGUCAUGUACCUCUCUUCGGGGAGAACUUAUAGGGGAGACGACAUGCAACCAGCCUGGACUGAGGUCCGCGCAUCUGCUAGGAUGCUGGCGUAAUGGCUGUAAGCGGCCCGUCUUGAAACACGGACCAAGGAGUCUAACAUCUAUGCGAGUGUUUGGGUGUCAAGCCCGAGCGCGUAAUGAAAGUGAACGGAGGUGGGAACCUUUCGGGGUGCACCAUCGACCGAUCCUGAUGUCUUCGGAUGGAUUUGAGUAAGAGCAUAGCUGUUGGGACCCGAAAGAUGGUGAACUAUGCUUGAAUAGGGUGAAGCCAGAGGAAACUCUGGUGGAGGCUCGCAGCGGUUCUGACGUGCAAAUCGAUCGUCAAAUUUGGGCAUAGGGGCGAAAGACUAAUCGAACUAUCUAGUAGCUGGUUCCUGCCGAAGUUUCCCUCAGGAUAGCAGUAACGUUUUCAGUUUUAUGAGGUAAAGCGAAUGAUUAGAGGCCUGGGGGUUGAAACAACC
This 951-nucleotide ribosomal RNA is filed under the name Ascochyta sp. RNAcentral's name for it is "partial large subunit ribosomal RNA". It matches the Rfam family "Eukaryotic large subunit ribosomal RNA", at positions 75 to 1046 of the family's 3401-position model. Lineage: Eukaryota; Fungi; Ascomycota; Dothideomycetes; Pleosporales; Didymellaceae. The record is from RNAcentral.